GAGUUUGAUCGUGGCUCAGAUUGAACGCUGGCGGCAGGCCUAACACAUGCAAGUCGAGCGGUAGAGAGAGGCUUGCUUCUCUUGAGAGCGGCGGACGGGUGAGUAAUGCCUAGGAAUCUGCCUGGUAGUGGGGGAUAACGCUCGGAAACGGACGCUAAUACCGCAUACGUCCUACGGGAGAAAGCAGGGGACCUUCGGGCCUUGCGCUAUCAGAUGAGCCUAGGUCGGAUUAGCUAGUUGGUGAGGUAAUGGCUCACCAAGGCGACGAUCCGUAACUGGUCUGAGAGGAUGAUCAGUCACACUGGAACUGAGACACGGUCCAGACUCCUACGGAGGCAGCAGUGGGGAAUAUUGGACAAUGGGCGAAAGCCUGAUCCAGCCAUGCCGCGUGUGUGAAGAAGGUCUUCGGAUUGUAAAGCACUUUAAGUUGGGAGGAAGGGCAGUAAAUUAAUACUUUGCUGUUUUGACGUUACCGACAGAAUAAGCACCGGCUAACUCUGUGCCAGCAG
This 509-nucleotide ribosomal RNA is filed under the name uncultured bacterium. RNAcentral's name for it is "bacterial SSU rRNA". It matches the Rfam family "Bacterial small subunit ribosomal RNA", at positions 9 to 514 of the family's 1533-position model. The record is from RNAcentral.